This 499-nucleotide ribosomal RNA is filed under the name uncultured bacterium. Its description in RNAcentral is "partial 16S ribosomal RNA". It matches the Rfam family "Bacterial small subunit ribosomal RNA", at positions 28 to 507 of the family's 1533-position model. The record is from RNAcentral.
GACGAACGCUGGCGGCGUGCCUAAUACAUGCAAGUCGAGCGAAGUUUUUCUGGUGCUUGCACUAGAAAAACUUAGCGGCGAACGGGUGAGUAACACGUAAAGAACCUGCCUCAUAGACUGGGACAACUAUUGGAAACGAUAGCUAAUACCGGAUAACAGUAUUUCUCGCAUGAGAGAUAUUUAAAAGUUGGUUAUGCUAACACUAUGAGAUGGCUUUGCGGUGCAUUAGCUAGUUGGUGGGGUAAAGGCCCACCAAGGCGACGAUGCAUAGCCGACCUGAGAGGGUGAUCGGCCACACUGGGACUGAGACACGGCCCAGACUCCUACGGGAGGCAGCAGUAGGGAAUCUUCCGCAAUGGGCGAAAGCCUGACGGAGCAACGCCGCGUGAGUGAGGAAGGAUUUCGGUUCGUAAAGCUCUGUUGUUAGGGAAGAAUGGAUAUGUAGUAACUAUACAUGUAAGAGACGGUACCUAACCAGAAAGCCACGGCUAACUACGUG